This 694-nucleotide ribosomal RNA is filed under the name uncultured Bacteroidales bacterium. Its description in RNAcentral is "bacterial SSU rRNA". It matches the Rfam family "Bacterial small subunit ribosomal RNA", at positions 32 to 715 of the family's 1533-position model. The record is from RNAcentral. Lineage: Bacteria; Pseudomonadati; Bacteroidota; Bacteroidia; Bacteroidales.
AACGCUAGCUACAGGCUUAACACAUGCAAGUCGAGGGGCAGCGGGAUUGAAGCUUGCUUCAAUUGCCGGCGACCGGCGCACGGGUGAGUAACGCGUAUCCAACCUUCCGUACACUCAGGGAUAGCCUUUCGAAAGAAAGAUUAAUACCUGAUGGUAUGAUGAGAUUGCAUGAUAGCAUCAUUAAAGAUUUAUCGGUGUACGAUGGGGAUGCGUUCCAUUAGGUAGUAGGCGGGGUAACGGCCCACCUAGCCGACGAUGGAUAGGGGUUCUGAGAGGAAGGUCCCCCACAUUGGAACUGAGACACGGUCCAAACUCCUACGGGAGGCAGCAGUGAGGAAUAUUGGUCAAUGGACGAGAGUCUGAACCAGCCAAGUAGCGUGAAGGAUGAAGGUCCUACGGAUUGUAAACUUCUUUUAUAAGGGAAUAAACCCUUCCACGUGUGGGAGCUUGUAUGUACCUUAUGAAUAAGCAUCGGCUAACUCCGUGCCAGCAGCCGCGGUAAUACGGAGGAUGCGAGCGUUAUCCGGAUUUAUUGGGUUUAAAGGGAGCGCAGACGGGUCGUUAAGUCAGCUGUGAAAGUUUGGGGCUCAACCUUAAAAUUGCAGUUGAUACUGGCGUCCUUGAGUGCGGUUGAGGUGUGCGGAAUUCGUGGUGUAGCGGUGAAAUGCUUAGAUAUCACGAAGAACUCCGAUUG